Molecule: long non-coding RNA, 413 nt
Filed under: Carica papaya (papaya)
Lineage: Eukaryota; Viridiplantae; Streptophyta; Magnoliopsida; Brassicales; Caricaceae
Description: long non-coding RNA (CPAP_LNC001989)
Source: RNAcentral
ACGAUUCAGAUUAACACAGGAUGGGUAUAAAUAUUUUGCAUCACACAGAACCCGAACCCUGGCUGCCAGCCCCCCUUGCCGAAGAAGAAGAACCAGACGCUGAAGAAGAAAACUGACCGUCGAUCGCCACCACACCGGAGCCACCUCCAACUGCAAAAAAAAGGUAAAAAUUCUCCUACCUGCUCGAAAUUCGAUUUCUGACCAUAUCAAAGCAAAACGAAUGGUGGAUGAGCCGAAAAUCACGGGCAAAGCCCAGGAGUGCCGCCGCGGCCCAAAACCUGCAAUCUCAUCCUAUCAGCCCUUUUUUGGUUCCCAUUUCAUGCAAAUUUUUCACCAUUGUAUUCAUCGUUCUGUUUUCUGUAGGUUGACCGAAGGAGGAAUCCCAGCCGCUAAGGAGAGCCGAUGGAGCCGCU